RNAcentral lists this ribosomal RNA (305 nucleotides) under uncultured bacterium. RNAcentral describes it as "bacterial SSU rRNA". It matches the Rfam family "Bacterial small subunit ribosomal RNA", at positions 338 to 660 of the family's 1533-position model. The record is from RNAcentral.
CCUACGGGGCGCAGCAGUGGGGGAUAUUGCACAAUGGGGGAAACCCUGAUGCAGCGAUGCCGCGUGAGUGAAGACGGCCUUCGGGUUGUAAAGCUCUGUCGCAGAGGACGAAAAUGACGGUACUCUGUAAGAAAGCUCCGGCUAACUACGUGCCAGCAGCCGCGGUAAUACGUAGGGAGCAAGCGUUGUCCGGAAUAACUGGGCGUAAAGGAUGCGUAGGCGGUUAAACAAGUUAUAUGUUAAAUAUAUAGGCUUAACCUGUAGAAAGCAUAUAAAACUGUUUAACUAGAGUGCAGGAGAGGUAA